CGAAGUCCCCAUGGCGGCGCCGCCCUCCGCCGCCUCGGCCUGCUCCGGCGAGCGGUGGCCUCCACUAGAGUCCAGCCCGGACGUAUUCAACCAGUUCAUGUGGUCGCUGGGUGUGCCGCAGGGCGAGGCGGAGGUCCACGACGUAUACGGUCUGGAUUAUGACGCGCUGGCGACGGUUCCCCAGCCCGUGCUCGCCGUCAUCUUCUGCUUCCCCGAUCCGCCUGAGAGUUCAAGUCAUCCUUCAGAGGAAGUCUUAGCCACUCAACAUAAGCAGGAAACUUCGGAUGAUGUGUAUUUCAUACAACAGAUCGAAUCAUUAGGAAAUGCUUGUGGAACUAUCGCUCUGCUUCAUGCUGUUGGAAAUGCAUGUUCAGAAAGUUUGUUGGAUAAUUCAUGCUUGGACUUGUUCUUCCAAUCAACAGCCAGCAUGGACCCAUAUGAGCGUGCGAGAGUUUUGGAGAAGGACGAUGACAUUGCAAGAGCCCACUCAUUGGCUGCCAGUGCUGGUGACACAGAGCUCCCUGACGAUGUAGAAGAGCAUUAUAUCUGUUUCGUGGCUCUUAAUGGAACACUUUAUGAGCUUGACGGCAUGAAGGGUGGACAAAAAAAACAUGGUUCCACAUCUCCAGAAAGUUUACUGCAGGAUGCUGUGCAUAUCAUUAAGGACAUAAUGCACAAGAUUCCCAGUUCGAUGAACUUCAAUGUCAUGGUGCUAUCAAGAACACUGAAGUAAAGCUGUACUGAAUACGGUAGAUGGAACGUAGAUCAUCAGUUUCAGCAAACAACACCAGCUUCCCACUCUUCCACAGGAGCUUCUGCCGGGCACUUCUAUGGAAUAAUUUCCAUGUCCUUUAGAGAGUUCUCUUAACGAAAGCUACCCGAGUUUUUGCUGAGGCUUUAGCUACUAGAUGUCCAGAUCACUAACCAGUGGGUCUUUCGGCAACUACUUGAGAAGCCCACGGUGACGUGGACAAGUGGAGCGAAUCAAGUUGCACCUGGAAGCGGUGAAUGUGUGUAAAACUACCUCCUAUGAUAAUGCUAUUUUGUGUUCAACUUCAGCAUGGGCAGAUCGAUCAUAAGAGGAAUGAUUCUCAGCUUAAUCAUGGAAACUGAUCAGUACUAUAGCCAGUGGCAGUCUCAGAGCUCUUCUAACGAAAGCUACCGGAGCUUCUCCUGAAUUUUCAGCUAGUAGACCCAUAAGUGGUGGCCUUUUGGCAACAAACUGGCAAGCUCACACUGGUGUCCACAAGU
This is an RNA transcript of Lolium rigidum, 1251 nucleotides long. It is a transcript of the gene named ubiquitin carboxyl-terminal hydrolase 3-like, with no coding region annotated. The transcript is spliced from 10 exons. NCBI's taxonomy places the organism in Eukaryota, Viridiplantae, Streptophyta, Magnoliopsida, Poales, Poaceae. The record is from RefSeq and is a predicted model, not a curated record.